This 34-nucleotide transfer RNA is filed under the name Aquilaria sinensis. RNAcentral describes it as "partial tRNA-Phe". Lineage: Eukaryota; Viridiplantae; Streptophyta; Magnoliopsida; Malvales; Thymelaeaceae. The record is from RNAcentral.
CCGGGAUAGCUCAGCUGGAAAAGCAAAGGACUGA